This 253-nucleotide ribosomal RNA is filed under the name uncultured bacterium. RNAcentral describes it as "partial 16S ribosomal RNA". It matches the Rfam family "Bacterial small subunit ribosomal RNA", at positions 524 to 776 of the family's 1533-position model. The record is from RNAcentral.
UACGAAGGGGGCUGGCGUUGCUCGGAUUGACUGGGCGUAAAGGGCGCGUAGGCGGAUAGUACAGUCAGGCGUGAAAUUCCUGGGCUCAACCUGGGGGCUGCGUUUGAUACGUAUUGUCUGGAGUUCGGAAGAGGGUCGUGGAAUUCCCAGUGUAGAGGUGAAAUUCGUAGAUAUUGGGAAGAACACCGGUGGCGAAGGCGGCGACCUGGUCCGAUACUGACGCUGAGGCGCGAAAGCGUGGGGAGCAAACAGG